RNAcentral lists this ribosomal RNA (495 nucleotides) under uncultured bacterium. Its description in RNAcentral is "partial 16S ribosomal RNA". It matches the Rfam family "Bacterial small subunit ribosomal RNA", at positions 29 to 506 of the family's 1533-position model. The record is from RNAcentral.
AUGAACGCUGGCGGCGUGCCUAAUACAUGCAAGUCGAGCGAACAGACGAGGAGCUUGCUCCUCUGACGUUAGCGGCGGACGGGUGAGUAACACGUGGAUAACCUACCUAUAAGACUGGGAUAACUUCGGGAAACCGGAGCUAAUACCGGAUAAUAUAUUGAACCGCAUGGUUCAAUAGUGAAAGACGGUUUUGCUGUCACUUAUAGAUGGAUCCGCGCCGCAUUAGCUAGUUGGUAAGGUAACGGCUUACCAAGGCAACGAUGCGUAGCCGACCUGAGAGGGUGAUCGGCCACACUGGAACUGGGACACGGUCCAGACUCCUACGGGAGGCAGCAGUAGGGAAUCUUCCGCAAUGGGCGAAAGCCUGACGGAGCAACGCCGCGUGAGUGAUGAAGGUCUUCGGAUCGUAAAACUCUGUUAUUAGGGAAGAACAAAUGUGUAAGUAACUAUGCACGUCUUGACGGUACCUAAUCAGAAAGCCACGGCUAACUACGU